UACGUAGGGUCCAAGCGUUAUCCGGAAUUACUGGGCGUAAAGCGUCUGUAGGCGGCUUUUCAAGUCGGGUGCGAAAUCUUGUGGCUCAACCAUAUAGAUGUUGCCCGAAACUGAAGAGCUAGAGAUAGGUAGAGGCAAGUGGAACUUGCGGUGUAGGAGUGACAUCCGUAGAUAUCGCAAAGAACACCAAUGGCGAAGGCAGCUUGCUGGGCCUUAUCUGACGCUCAGAGACGAAAGCGUGGGGAGCGAACGGG
Molecule: ribosomal RNA, 254 nt
Filed under: uncultured bacterium
Lineage: Bacteria
Description: partial 16S ribosomal RNA
Rfam family: Bacterial small subunit ribosomal RNA
Source: RNAcentral